UGCUGGCCGCUGCAUGGGACAGCGAAGACUCCGAUUGUUCAACAAGCAAAGCUUUUGGGAAGUCCAGCGACCCGUUGUCGGGUCUAAGACUGGGCCAAGAUUCUCUACUGCAAAGCCCAACACGGGACGACCUGGGACCCUGGGACCUACACCAGAGACCUGGCGACACGCGGGCCCAGGCUACGGGGUCUUCAUGUAAGACGCUAUGCGUGACGAAAGCUCUCGUGUCGCUUCUCGCCGCUAAUCCUGCACUUUUUCGACAACCUGGAGUGGAAUGUUCCCCGGGAGGUACAGGCUACAGCUUCGUGUCCCCCGCCCUGCAGCUCUGCAACGCCCUCAGCGCCUGCGCCGUCAGCAGCAACCUCAACGUCUCUGCUCGUACCUGGUCUCUGCGUCAUC
Hyalella azteca is the source of this 399-nucleotide long non-coding RNA. RefSeq lists it as uncharacterized. The record is from RefSeq and is a predicted model, not a curated record. The transcript is spliced from 3 exons. Lineage: Eukaryota; Metazoa; Arthropoda; Malacostraca; Amphipoda; Hyalellidae.